GUAUUGAUUGGUGCUUGCAUCAUGAUUUACAUUUGAGUGAGUGGCGAACUGGUGAGUAACACGUGGGAAACCUGCCCAGAAGCGGGGGAUAACACCUGGAAACAGAUGCUAAUACCGCAUAACAACUUGGACCGCAUGGUCCGAGCUUGAAAGAUGGCUUCGGCUAUCACUUUUGGAUGGUCCCGCGGCGUAUUAGCUAGAUGGUGGGGUAACGGCUCACCAUGGCAAUGAUACGUAGCCGACCUGAGAGGGUAAUCGGCCACAUUGGGACUGAGACACGGCCCAAACUCCUACGGGAGGCAGCAGUAGGGAAUCUUCCACAAUGGACGAAAGUCUGAUGGAGCAACGCCGCGUGAGUGAAGAAGGGUUUCGGCUCGUAAAACUCUGUUGUUAAAGAAGAACAUAUCUGAGAGUAACUGUUCAGGUAUUGACGGUAUUUAACCAGAAAGCCACGGCUAACUACGUGCCAGCAGCCGCGGUAAUACGUAGGUGGCAAGCGUUGUCCGGAUUUAUUGGGCGUAAAGCGAGCGCAGGCGGUUUUUUAAGUCUGAUGUGAAAGCCUUCGGCUCAACCGAAGAAGUGCAUCGGAAACUGGGAAACUUGAGUGCAGAAGAGGACAGUGGAACUCCAUGUGUAGCGGUGAAAUGCGUAGAUAUAUGGAAGAACACCAGUGGCGAAGGCGGCUGUCUGGUCUGUAACUGACGCUGAGGCUCGAAAGUAUGGGUAGCAAACAGGAUUAGAUACCCUGGUAGUCCAUACCGUAAACGAUGAAUGCUAAGUGUUGGAGGGUUUCCGCCCUUCAGUGCUGCAGCUAACGCAUUAAGCAUUCCGCCUGGGGAGUACGGCCGCAAGGCUGAAACUCAAAGGAAUUGACGGGGGCCCGCACAAGCGGUGGAGCAUGUGGUUUAAUUCGAAGCUACGCGAAGAACCUUACCAGGUCUUGACAUACUAUGCAAAUCUAAGAGAUUAGACGUUCCCUUCGGGGACAUGGAUACAGGUGGUGCAUGGUUGUCGUCAGCUCGUGUCGUGAGAUGUUGGGUUAAGUCCCGCAACGAGCGCAACCCUUAUUAUCAGUUGCCAGCAUUAAGUUGGGCACUCUGGUGAGACUGCCGGUGACAAACCGGAGGAAGGUGGGGAUGACGUCAAAUCAUCAUGCCCCUUAUGACCUGGGCUACACACGUGCUACAAUGGAUGGUACAACGAGUUGCGAACUCGCGAGAGUAAGCUAAUCUCUUAAAGCCAUUCUCAGUUCGGAUUGUAGGCUGCAACUCGCCUACAUGAAGUCGGAAUCGCUAGUAAUCGCGGAUCAGCAUGCCGCGGUGAAUACGUUCCCGGGCCUUGUACACACCGCCCGUCACACCAUGAGAGUUUGUAACACCCAAAGUCGGUGGGGUAACCUUUUAGGAACCAGCCGCCUAAG
This 1420-nucleotide ribosomal RNA is filed under the name Lactiplantibacillus plantarum. RNAcentral describes it as "bacterial SSU rRNA". It matches the Rfam family "Bacterial small subunit ribosomal RNA". Lineage: Bacteria; Bacillati; Bacillota; Bacilli; Lactobacillales; Lactobacillaceae. The record is from RNAcentral.